AGGACAUAAAGAAGUGACGAAGAUCCAAAUAUGUCAUUUUCCCAAGUUCAGUCACCUAGUAGAGAAGUUCUCAGCAGUGCAGAUCUGGUGUCCAGAUGCAAAGGAGGACAAGGCUCUGAUGGCUUGAUGGAAUUCAACUGCUAAUAUCAGUGUUGCAGCUUCCAUAUAAUUCCAUCACUAGGAAGUUGCCUUAUACCAGAGCAAUCGUUGGAAACCUUGAUAGAAUUCAUGUCCUGCCGUGUUUCCCUAAUUCAAUACAAAAUGAAGAUCUGAGACUCAGUUGUAAAGACCGACGGAAACGUCCAGUUGGUUAGGGACCGAGAAGCAUCUCUCGGCUUGCAAGUUUAAAUGAUCCCAGAUGAGCUUGUGCCUACAGUCUCCGUCCUGCUGUUUUUCAACUAAUCAUUUGCAAAAUUGAAAAAAAGAAAGAAAGAAAAAGCAGGAAGACUUCUGUUUCCAGAGGAAUAGGUGUGUUAGCCUGCUGCACCGAAAGCAACAAAGAAUCUUGUGGCACCAUAAAGACUAACCAUAAAUAAUAAAGAUUUAUUAUUGCAUAGUCUUUCAUGGAACUAGAAUUUAUUUCAUCACAUCUAUGAAGGAUAAUACUUUUGCUAAUCACAAUAUUGAGAAUGAACUGGACUGGAAUUUCUUUUGUGCAUAUGUUUACGAAAAGUGGUCAAGUUAGUGUCAUAUACUGUAUGCGUAUACAUGUUAAAGGGUUUUUUAUAUGUACAUGUUAUAGUUGUGUGUAUGUAAAACUAUGAUAUAACUUUUAUACCAGAGUAAUGCCCAUUUUAGAUUUUGAAAUAAUCUCUGUAGAAAAUGAUAUUAGUAAUAUAAU
Rhineura floridana is the source of this 841-nucleotide long non-coding RNA. RefSeq lists it as uncharacterized. NCBI's taxonomy places the organism in Eukaryota, Metazoa, Chordata, Lepidosauria, Squamata, Rhineuridae. The transcript is spliced from 4 exons. The record is from RefSeq and is a predicted model, not a curated record.